GCCUGGGUGGCUCAGUCAGUUAAGUGUCUGAAUUCUGCUCAGAUCAUGACCUUGUGGUUUGUGGGUUCAAGCCCCACAUCAGGCU
RNAcentral lists this transfer RNA (85 nucleotides) under Felis catus (domestic cat). It matches the Rfam family "tRNA". From Rfam's summary of the family: Transfer RNA (tRNA) molecules are approximately 80 nucleotides in length. The record is from Rfam by way of RNAcentral. Lineage: Eukaryota; Metazoa; Chordata; Mammalia; Carnivora; Felidae.